AAAUAAAUAUUUACUUUUACUUAGGUAUUUUUUAUAACUCAUCUAUUACUUAUCGAAGUCGAUAAGAAUUAUGAAAAUGGAGUUAGUAUUCAAACGGUGGUUGUGAAUUCCUAACUUCAUCCUCUUGUGUAGAGAUCAAGCGUGUGUUUUAUACGAGUGGCUGCUAGAAACUAUACUAAUGGCCUCCCGCGUAUAUAAGAAGUAGCUAGAGGAGGUAGGAAAUAAUGAUAAGGAGAAAUAUGUGUUAUAAAUUUCUAGUAUACUUAGUACGUUUCGUAUUAUCGUUUUAAUUUUUUCAAGAGUACAACUCGAAACGUACACGAACACACAUCACACUCACACCAUAACGCAUGCAUACACACGCACACAUGUACGCGUCACUACCCCACGAUUAAGAUUUUGGGUGCGUACGCUUGUAAGGGGAAAAUCAUCGGGUGAGACACGCGAGUUGCGAUCCCAGGGAUCGAACUCGCGUGGGUUGCUUGUGCGCCCGCAUGGCUAGCCACCCGAGCAAAGCUC
This 519-nucleotide long non-coding RNA is filed under the name Oryza brachyantha (malo sina). RNAcentral's name for it is "long non-coding RNA (OBRA_LNC000604)". The record is from RNAcentral. Lineage: Eukaryota; Viridiplantae; Streptophyta; Magnoliopsida; Poales; Poaceae.